This 253-nucleotide ribosomal RNA is filed under the name uncultured bacterium. Its description in RNAcentral is "partial 16S ribosomal RNA". It matches the Rfam family "Bacterial small subunit ribosomal RNA", at positions 524 to 776 of the family's 1533-position model. The record is from RNAcentral.
UACGUAGGGUGCAAGCGUUGUCCGGAAUUAUUGGGCGUAAAGAGCUCGUAGGCGGUUUGUUGCGUCGGCUGUGAAAUCCCGAGGCUCAACCUCGGGUCUGCAGUCGAUACGAGCAAACUAAAGUGUUGCAGGGGAGACUGGAAUUCCUGGUGUAGCGGUGAAAUGCGUAGAUAUCAGGAGGAACACCGGUGGCGAAGGCGGGUCUCUGGGCCGAUACUGACGCUGAGGAGCGAAAGCGUGGGGAGCGAACAGG